RNAcentral lists this ribosomal RNA (460 nucleotides) under uncultured bacterium. Its description in RNAcentral is "partial 16S ribosomal RNA". It matches the Rfam family "Bacterial small subunit ribosomal RNA", at positions 338 to 795 of the family's 1533-position model. The record is from RNAcentral.
ACUACGGGUGGCAGCAGUGAGGAAUAUUGGUCAAUGGGCGCGAGCCUGAACCAGCCAAGUCGCGUGAAGGAGGACGGCCCUACGGGUUGUAAACCUCUUUUGCCGGGGAGCAACGGGCGUCACGUGUGGCGCCACUGAGAGUACCCGGAGAAAAAGCAUCGGCUAACUCCGUGCCAGCAGCCGCGGUAGUACGGAGGAUGCGGGCUUUAUCCGGAUUUAUUGGGUUUAAAGGGUGCGUAGGCGGAUCGGUAAGUCAGUGGUCAAAUUGAGGGGCUCAACCCCUUCCCGCCAUUGAAACUGGCGCUAUUGAGGGGAAGAGAAGUAUGCGGAAUGCGUGGUGUAGCGGUGAAAUGCAGAGAUAUCACGCAGAACCCCGAUUGCGAAGGCAGCAUGCCGGCGUCCGACUGACGCUGAAGCACGAAAGCGUGGGGAUCGAACAGGAUUAGAUACCCGGGUAGUC